UACUAUAGAUUUCAGAAAUCUAACCACGC
This 29-nucleotide non-coding RNA is filed under the name Bombyx mori (domestic silkworm). The record is from RNAcentral. Lineage: Eukaryota; Metazoa; Arthropoda; Insecta; Lepidoptera; Bombycidae.